RNAcentral lists this ribosomal RNA (1145 nucleotides) under Klebsiella pneumoniae. RNAcentral describes it as "partial 23S ribosomal RNA". It matches the Rfam family "Bacterial large subunit ribosomal RNA", at positions 351 to 1506 of the family's 2925-position model. The record is from RNAcentral. Lineage: Bacteria; Pseudomonadati; Pseudomonadota; Gammaproteobacteria; Enterobacterales; Enterobacteriaceae.
CCGACGGUACAGGGUGAUAGUCCCGUACACCAAAAUGCACAGGUUGUGAACUCGAAGAGUAGGGCGGGACACGUGGUAUCCUGUCUGAAUAUGGGGGGACCAUCCUCCAAGGCUAAAUACUCCUGACUGACCGAUAGUGAACCAGUACCGUGAGGGAAAGGCGAAAAGAACCCCGGCGAGGGGAGUGAAAAAGAACCUGAAACCGUGUACGUACAAGCAGUGGGAGCACCUUCGGGUGUGACUGCGUACCUUUUGUAUAAUGGGUCAGCGACUUAUAUUCUGUAGCAAGGUUAACCGUAUAGGGGAGCCGCAGGGAAACCGAGUCUUAACUGGGCGUUAAGUUGCAGGGUAUAGACCCGAAACCCGGUGAUCUAGCCAUGGGCAGGUUGAAGGUUGGGUAACACUAACUGGAGGACCGAACCGACUAAUGUUGAAAAAUUAGCGGAUGACUUGUGGCUGGGGGUGAAAGGCCAAUCAAACCGGGAGAUAGCUGGUUCUCCCCGAAAGCUAUUUAGGUAGCGCCUCGUGAACUCAUCUUCGGGGGUAGAGCACUGUUUCGGCUAGGGGGUCAUCCCGACUUACCAACCCGAUGCAAACUACGAAUACCGAAGAAUGUUAUCACGGGAGACACACGGCGGGUGCUAACGUCCGUCGUGAAGAGGGAAACAACCCAGACCGCCAGCUAAGGUCCCAAAGUCAUGGUUAAGUGGGAAACGAUGUGGGAAGGCACAGACAGCCAGGAUGUUGGCUUAGAAGCAGCCAUCAUUUAAAGAAAGCGUAAUAGCUCACUGGUCGAGUCGGCCUGCGCGGAAGAUGUAACGGGGCUAAACCAUGCACCGAAGCUGCGGCAGCGACACUAUGUGUUGUUGGGUAGGGGAGCGUUCUGUAAGCCUGCGAAGGUGACCUGUGAGGGUUGCUGGAGGUAUCAGAAGUGCGAAUGCUGACAUAAGUAACGAUAAAGCGGGUGAAAAGCCCGCUCGCCGGAAGACCAAGGGUUCCUGUCCAACGUUAAUCGGGGCAGGGUGAGUCGACCCCUAAGGCGAGGCCGAAAGGCGUAGUCGAUGGGAAACAGGUUAAUAUUCCUGUACUUGGUGUUACUGCGAAGGGGGGACGGAGAAGGCUAUGUUAGCCGGGCGACGGUUGUC